Molecule: long non-coding RNA, 874 nt
Organism: Erpetoichthys calabaricus (reedfish)
Lineage: Eukaryota; Metazoa; Chordata; Cladistia; Polypteriformes; Polypteridae
Exons: 3
Source: RefSeq, a predicted model, not a curated record
UCAAUUAAUCGCAUCCGUUGUCUAUCAGCAGUUAAACGAGAUUGUGUCUCCUCGGAUGUUUCAUUUUCCCGAUGUGCUCACCUCACUUGUCUAUCAGCGGCUAAGUGAGUUUCUCUGUCCUCGGAGGUUUCGUUUUCCCGAUGUGCUCGCCUCCAUUGUGUAUCAGCGGUUAAGCGAGUUUCUCUCUCCUCGGAGGUUUCGUUUUCCCGAUGUGCUUGCCUCACUUGUCUAUCAGCGGCUAAGUGAGUUUCUCUCUCCUCGGAGGUUUCGUUUUCCCGAUGUGCUUGCCUCACUUGUCUAUCAGCGGUUAAGCGAGUUUCUCUCUCCUCGGAGGUUUCGUUUUCCCGAUGUGCUCGCCUCCAUUGUGUAUCAGCGGUUAAGCGAGUUUCUCUCUCCUCGGAGGUUUCAUUUUCCCGAUGUGCUCACCUCACUUGUCUAUCAGCGGCUAAGUGAGUUUCUCUCUCCUCGGAGGUUUCGUUUUCCCGAUGUGCUCGCCUCCAUUGUGUAUCAGCGGUUAAGCGAGUUUCUCUCUCCUCGGAGGUUUCGUUUUCCCGAUGUGCUCACCUCACUUGUCUAUCAGCGGCUAAGUGAGUUUCUCUCUCCUCGGAGGUUUCGUUUUCCCGAUGUGCUUGCCUCACUUGUCUAUCAGCGGCUAAGUGAGUUUCUCUCUCCUCGGAGGUUUCGUUUUCCCGAUGUGCUCGCCUCACUUGUCUAUCAGCGGCUAAGUGAGUUUCUCUCUCCUCGGAGGUUUCGUUUUCCCGAUGUGCUCACCUCACUUGUCUAUCAGCGGCUAAGUGAGUUUCUCUCUCCUCGGAGGUUUCGUUUUCCCGAUGUGCUCAUUUCACUUGUCUAUCAGCGGCUAAGUGAGUUUCUC